This 440-nucleotide ribosomal RNA is filed under the name uncultured bacterium. RNAcentral's name for it is "bacterial SSU rRNA". It matches the Rfam family "Bacterial small subunit ribosomal RNA", at positions 97 to 520 of the family's 1533-position model. The record is from RNAcentral.
GGCGGACGGGUGAGUAACACGUGGGCAACUGCCUAUAAGACCUGGGACUAACUUCGGGAGACCCGGAGCUAAUACGGAUAAUUCAUAUCUACUCAUGUAGGUAUGCUGAAAGCAACGGUUUACGCUGUCGCUUAUAGAUGGGCCCGCGGCGCAUUAGCUAGUUGGUGAGGUAACGGCUCACCAAGGCAACGAUGCGUAGCCGACCUGAGAGGGUGAUCGGCCACACUGGGACUGAGACACGGCCCAGACUCCUACGGGAGGCAGCAGUAGGGAAUCUUCCGCAAUGGACGAAAGUCUGACGGAGCAACGCCGCGUGAGUGAUGAAGGUUUUCGGAUCGUAAAACUCUGUUGUUAGGGAAGAACAAGUACUAGAGUAACUGCUAGUACCUUGACGGUACCUAACCAGAAAGCCACGGCUAACUACGUGCCAGCCGCCGCGG